UCUUUCUCCAACUACUCUGUGUAAAUGUUAAUUUCUUCAGUUCGUGAAUUUAUUUCCUAGACAAGUCAGGCUUUGUCACGAAAAUUUUAUUUCCUAAUGUUUGCCUGUCACGAUAUUUAAAUGGCUAGUAAUUAAUUUGUAUAACAUGCUGUUACAAGUAAGCAGUAGUUACUUAGCAAUGAGUAGUCUAUUUCUGCUCCAUUGGCUAACAGUUAUCGAUAUAAUUGAAGCGAGAUCGAAUAACGCGUUUAAUAACACGGUGAAAUUGAUCCGUAACGCACUCAGUGGCAGAGAUCUUUUAAAUUAGUAGAAAAAUCAACGAUAUGAUAAGCACUGGCUUAGUGGAAUUGUAAUAAAUAUUCGGAGACAGUGUGAGAUACAAGGAAAAGAAAAUAAUUCACGCGAUACGUUAAUUUUACGAAUGGCGGCGAUUUAACGGCAGUCAAAUUCUUCAACAUCGUCACUGUAGGGCUGUAAAGUAAUGUUACGCAGGAACAGGCGGCAUCGAAAAGGAUGCACUUAUAGGUGCAGUCCGAGAAUGACGUCAACCUAUUGCCUUUCUAUAAAUAUCGAGUUUCCAAAAGAAGUUCGUUGCCCACGCUUGCAACGCGAACAACAAGGAACCCAAAGAAAAAUUGCCAGCUCUCGUAUAUUAUGCCAGCAGUUUAAUAUAGAGAAGUUUCCAACACGAUUUGGCGAUACUUCGAAGCAAAGAAAGUUAGUAUUACGUGCAAUAUAUAUUCAUUGAUAUACACUAUAUUCAUAUCAAUAACGUGAAUCAUUCUACUUAAGAAUAUUUACAUAAAUCUUUGGUCCAAUUCCAUCAAGUUGUCAAAUAUUCGAUCACUCGUUCUAUUAGGUUGGCAACUAAGUGAUUGCGUAUCUUGUCAUUAAGUGGUAAUGACAAAAUCCGCAAUCACUUAAU
Molecule: long non-coding RNA, 925 nt
Organism: Bombus impatiens (common eastern bumble bee)
Lineage: Eukaryota; Metazoa; Arthropoda; Insecta; Hymenoptera; Apidae
Exons: 3
Source: RefSeq, a predicted model, not a curated record